GAUGAACGCUAGCUACAGGCUUAACACAUGCAAGUCGAGGGGCAGCAUGGUCUUAGCUUGCUAAGGCCGAUGGCGACCGGCGCACGGGUGAGUAACACGUAUCCAACCUGCCGUCUACUCUUGGACAGCCUUCUGAAAGGAAGAUUAAUACAAGAUGGCAUCAUGAGUCCGCAUGUUCACAUGAUUAAAGGUAUUCCGGUAGACGAUGGGGAUGCGUUCCAUUAGAUAGUAGGCGGGGUAACGGCCCACCUAGUCUUCGAUGGAUAGGGGUUCUGAGAGGAAGGUCCCCCACAUUGGAACUGAGACACGGUCCAAACUCCUACGGGAGGCAGCAGUGAGGAAUAUUGGUCAAUGGGCGAGAGCCUGAACCAGCCAAGUAGCGUGAAGGAUGACUGCCCUAUGGGUUGUAAACUUCUUUUAUAAAGGAAUAAAGUCGGGUAUGUAUACCCGUUUGCAUGUACUUUAUGAAUAAGGAUCGGCUAACUCCGUGCCAGCAGCCGCGGUAAUACGGAGGAUCCGAGCGUUAUCCGGAUUUAUUGGGUUUAAAGGGAGCGUAGAUGGAUGUUUAAGUCAGUUGUGAAAGUUUGCGGCUCAACCGUAAAAUUGCAGUUGAUACUGGAUAUCUUGAGUGCAGUUGAGGCAGGCGGAAUUCGUGGUGUAGCGGUGAAAUGCUUAGAUAUCACGAAGAACUCCGAUUGCGAAGGCAGCCUGCUA
RNAcentral lists this ribosomal RNA (714 nucleotides) under uncultured Bacteroidales bacterium. RNAcentral's name for it is "bacterial SSU rRNA". It matches the Rfam family "Bacterial small subunit ribosomal RNA", at positions 28 to 731 of the family's 1533-position model. The record is from RNAcentral. Lineage: Bacteria; Pseudomonadati; Bacteroidota; Bacteroidia; Bacteroidales.